RNAcentral lists this ribosomal RNA (253 nucleotides) under uncultured bacterium. RNAcentral describes it as "partial 16S ribosomal RNA". It matches the Rfam family "Bacterial small subunit ribosomal RNA", at positions 524 to 776 of the family's 1533-position model. The record is from RNAcentral.
UACAGAGGUCUCAAGCGUUGUUCGGAUUCAUUGGGCGUAAAGGGUGCGUAGGCGGCGGAGCAAGUCUGAUGUGAAAUCCCGGGGCUCAACCCCGGAACUGCAUUGGAUACUGCUCUGCUUGAGCACUGGAGAGGAGACUGGAAUUUACGGUGUAGCAGUGAAAUGCGUAGAGAUCGUAAGGAAGACCAGUGGCGAAGGCGAGUCUCUGGACAGUUCCUGACACUGAGACACGAAGGCCAGGGGAGCAAACGGG